GCCAGCGGCGAUAGCACGUUGAUUGCACCAAUUGCCAAAGGAUCACUGAAGUUAGGCAACAUUGAGCGUGUUUAGUAUUCGGAUGGGUCAUCUGGGCAAUCGCGUGCUGCUGGCU
RNAcentral lists this ribosomal RNA (115 nucleotides) under Diaphorina citri (Asian citrus psyllid). Lineage: Eukaryota; Metazoa; Arthropoda; Insecta; Hemiptera; Psyllidae. The record is from RNAcentral.